This 3822-nucleotide long non-coding RNA is filed under the name Homo sapiens (human). RNAcentral's name for it is "HSALNT0330327". The record is from RNAcentral. Lineage: Eukaryota; Metazoa; Chordata; Mammalia; Primates; Hominidae.
CUCUCUUUGCCUUCUGCCAGCAGCGUAAGAUGUAACUUGCUCCUCACCUUCCACCGUGAUUGUGAGGCCUCCCCAGCCAUGUGGAACUGUGAGUCCAUUAAACCUCUUUCCUGCAUAAAUUACCCAGUCUUGGGUAUGUCUUUCUUAGCAGCGUGAAAACGGACUAAUACACCUGGCACUGACAGGAAAAAAAAAGGUUAAGACAGUUGUGAACCCUUGAGCAGGUCACUAAACUCCUCUGUGGCUCAGUUUCUUCAUCCGGAAAAAGGAAAUUAUAAUGCUGAACGUGUAGGAUUAUCAUUAAGUGUUAGGGUAAUCAACUUGCCUGGAGCGUAUCUCAUAGUCAGUGCUUAAAAUGGUAGUUUUUGUUACUGACAUGGAAAUGAUUGAUAAAACAAAGGCCUCAGGGCUUAUAAGGAGCAGUGAUUAUUUUAUUGGUGAACAGGAUGUUCUAUUCCUGUUGGACCAACUGAUAACAGUCACUUCAUGAAGAAAAAAGGAUUUCGAGUGGGAUAGAACACUGGAGUUUUCUUUGGUGGUUUUGUCUGGUGGGAUCUAUUUAAUUGCAUUCUGCUUAGAACCAACUAAUUGUUGAACAAUUCAGCUGAUCACACACUAGCUAAGAAGGCCAUGUGUGAAAAAUAUCUAGAGAGGUCCUAGCUAUUUGGGAGCAAGUCCAUCAUAAGCCAAUAUGUGACCCGGCUGCUGAUACAGAUGAGCCGCUCUUGGAGUGCAUUAACAGAAGUAGCAAGCCUAGAAUAAGGGAGGAGAUGGUCCUUCUGCAUUCUCUUCUGGCUGGGAUACACUUGGAAAUAUGGGUUCAGUUCUCUAAGAAUCUCAUUGUCAAACCUGAGUGUGUUCUGAAGAAUGUGAGUAAGAGAGGAAGGAGCUGAAGACCUUGCCAUAUGGAGAACAAGGAAAAGGAUGAGAGAGGCUUUUCCCCUGGAGGUAAGAAUGUUCACGGUGAUCAAUGACUUUAAACUUCUGAAGGGCUGCCAUAGGGAAGGAGGAGAUGAUGGAACACACUGUGGGUGAGUGGAGGUGGGGUCAGAGUCUAUCAAGCUUGCCCAACCUGCCUUAUUUUUAUUGUUGUUCUGUUUUGUUUUGUUUUAGACUUUUAGCAGCCUGAAAGCCAUGGUUUUUAGUUUCUGUCUCUAGUGAUAAGUGAAAAAGAGGGAUGAGGGAGGGGUUUUGGUGGCCUAACCAGAAUCAGAAACUAAGAACCCAUAAUUGUAUUUUCUCCCUUGGACACCCCUGGAGGUCUUUUGGACAAAGUUACAAGGAGGAAUAUUCAAUUCGGGAAGAUGCUGAAUUGGGCCACCUUGUGAGGUAGUAAAUCUCCUGGCAGCUGAGAUAUUCAACCAGAGGCUAGCCAAAGUAAAGCAGUAUGUGGUGUGGAGGUUGUGGGAACAGGAUUUGAUGUUAAAUCUGGGUUUAAAUACUGGCUGUGCUGUGUGGGCAAGAAGUAAACAUCUCUGGAUGUACUUGCCUUAGCGGUGAAAUGGAGACAGAGCUUACACUACUGGAUUGUGAGGGUUAAAUGAGAUAAUAUACGUAAAAUCCUUAACAGUUGCUCUUAGUAUUAUUUUGGUUACUUAUCAAGGAUAAACUCACCAGGGUUUCCUUCCCACUCUACAUUUCGGGGAUGCUAUGAAUGAAACAGGCCACUGCAUUUCUCCUUGAUUGUUCUUUGUUCUCCACUUCAAACCAAUUGCCGUUUCAUUGCAUUUUGUUAAUAAUAUAAUUCUAGAGAAAGCUGGCCUGCCAUGACUGUUUUUUAGUGUUUCUUCCUCAUUAAUUUAGAUCUUCUCCAGCUGAUGAACAUUUUUGCUUAGUAGAAGUUCAUUAAUUCUCCCCUCCCCGACUCAUUCCAGCAAUGCAAUUUAAACAGCAUUAAUCCGGUAUUUAGUGAGAAAAUGGAGUUUUAUACUAAGAAACAUUCAGUUUGAGACAAUCUUUUUUUCUUCUUAAACAACUUUUUUUGAAAUCCUAAUUUAAUGACGAAUUAUCAUCAUUUGUGUUGGAAGAAGGUUUAAGAAGAGAGAGAAUAAUGGAUGAGGGUUAUGAAAUUUUAGAGCCAGACGAACUCUCAUCUGGCCUCUUGUUUUAUACAUGAGGACAUGGGUCCCAGAAAGGUUGACUUAUGGGCUCCAGGCCACUGAAGAGUGAAUGGCAGAGCUGGGUUGUGAACCUCUUCUUGCCGUCCAAGCUACCUUCUGUCUGCUGGGGGGUGGCAGGCUUGGGUCAUGUUCUCCCACUGUCUAGUUUGAGCUUGGCAAGUUUUUCAGCUGCAGUGAAGCUCAAUUUUUUGAUCUGUAAACUGCCCAUGUAGUGAUAGUUCCUCCCUUGUCAGUAUUAGGGGUAGGUUAAUGUAAGUAAAGCAAUUACAAAAUUGCUGGCACCUGGUAGGCAUAGCGAGACUGUCGAAUGAAGAGACAAUAAUUUAAGGUCAUUACUGUUUAUAGUUAUAAUUUACCUGAGUGCUUCUCAUAUGCUGGGCCUUUGCUGAGCUCUUCCAAACCACCCUUUGGAUAAUGGUUUGAAAGGGCUCUGGCUAGGAUAUCCACCCUAUGAGGUAUUAGAAUGGUGCAAAAGUAACUGCUGUUUCUUCCAUUACUUUCAAUGGCAAAGGGCACAAUUACUUUUGCACCAACUUAAUAGAAAGUCUAACAAGUUUCUACUGUUAUGAGAACUCUGGAACUUUUAUUUCCCCAUUCCUGUCUUGUUUGUUGCCCCCCAAACCUCAACCAUUUCCUACAGGAAUUAACAAUGAAACCCUUAAAAUGGAAAGUUCUCAGGGAACUGUUUUAGAACAGUGGAGUAGGCAGUUCCUGGGGAGAUGCCUGUUAUUCCACAGUGAGGGGUGAAGAUAACUCACAGUAUGGGGUGGGACUCGGCAGCUGUGAGAAGCCAGGGGAAGCGGGUGAAUCACUGUGGGUACAGGAGGAGGAGUUUGACUAAUCAUACCUUAUACCAGUGGUUCUCCACUGGAGACAGUUUUGUCCCCCAGGAGACAUUUGACAAUGUCUGAAGACAUUUUUGGUUGUCAUGGGGGAUGGGUGAUAGGUGAGUGUGAUAUUGCUGUCUGGUGGGUAGAGACCAGGGAUACUGCCACACUCCCUAAAAUGCACAGACCAGCCCCCAACAACAAAGAACUGUGGCCCAAAAUGUCAACAGUGCUGAGGUUGAGAUACCCUGCCUUACACACAUCCUAUGAUUUGGUCUUUAUGAAAAAGUAUGAAGUAUGAGGAAGGGAGCCGGUAUUUAAUAAGGGUAAUAGGAUCUCUUCUGUGCCAGGCAUUACAUUGGGCUGGAGUUGGGAAGACAGAUUUUAACUGCCUGAUAACUUGAUCAGUGGGUAGGAGCCUCUUGGAUCACUCUAUUGACAAGGAUUCUGACGCACAGCAGGAAAGAAGGCUGCAAUCAAUGGACUCCAGUGCUGGCACUUUUCAGCUGUGUAACCUUGAGCAGUUACUUAACCUUUCUGUGCCUCAGUUUUCAUGUCUGUAAAAUGCUGAUGAUAGGAGUAUCUACCUUAUUGAGUUGCCAUGAGGAUCAAAUUAAUUAAUAAUUUAAAGAGCUUUUUGAACUAUGCCUGCCGUGCAGUUAGUUAUCUUCAUCCUCAUUAUCAGGAACAAAACAAUCUUGCUGCGUAUUUACCAUCCUUGUUUUGUCAAAUUAUACACAAAGUCUCAUAUAAGUAGAUAUAUUAGAUAUGUAUAAUUUAACAUGUGUAAUUUGCCCCAUUUUUAGGAUGAGGAAAUUUUGUUUAAAAUUGGGUAAGAGGACAGAGAACUGAUCGAGAAUGUUAAACUAGUGGGU